RNAcentral lists this ribosomal RNA (491 nucleotides) under uncultured bacterium. RNAcentral's name for it is "partial 16S ribosomal RNA". It matches the Rfam family "Bacterial small subunit ribosomal RNA", at positions 355 to 838 of the family's 1533-position model. The record is from RNAcentral.
UAGGGAAUCUUCCACAAUGGACGAAAGUCUGAUGGAGCAACGCCGCGUGAGUGAUGAAGGGUUUCGGCUCGUAAAACUCUGUUGUUGGAGAAGAACGGGUGUCAGAGUAACUGUUGACAUCGUGACGGUAUCCAACCAGAAAGCCACGGCUAACUACGUGCCAGCAGCCGCGGUAAUACGUAGGUGGCAAGCGUUGUCCGGAUUUAUUGGGCGUAAAGCGAGCGCAGGCGGUUUUUUAGGUCUGAUGUGAAAGCCUUCGGCUUAACCGGAGAAGUGCAUCGGAAACCGGGAGACUUGAGUGCAGAAGAGGACAGUGGAGCUCCAUGUGUAGCGGUGAAAUGCGUAGAUAUAUGGAAGAACACCAGUGGCGAAGGCGGCUGUCUGGUCUGCAAACUGACGCUGAGGCUCGAAAGCAUGGGUAGCGAACAGGAUUAGAUACCCUGGUGGUCCAUGCCGUAAACGAUGAGUGCUAAGUGUUGGAGGGUUUUCCG